RNAcentral lists this ribosomal RNA (393 nucleotides) under uncultured bacterium. RNAcentral describes it as "bacterial SSU rRNA". It matches the Rfam family "Bacterial small subunit ribosomal RNA", at positions 30 to 423 of the family's 1533-position model. The record is from RNAcentral.
AUUGAACGCUGGCGGCAUGCCUUACACAUGCAAGUCGAACGGCAGCACGGGAGCAAUCCUGGUGGCGAGUGGCGAACGGGUGAGUAAUAUAUCGGAACGUGCCCAGUCGUGGGGGAUAACGUAGCGAAAGCUACGCUAAUACCGCAUACGAUCUAUGGAUGAAAGCGGGGGAUCGCAAGACCUCGCGCGAUUGGAGCGGCCGAUAUCAGAUUAGGUAGUUGGUGAGGUAAAGGCUCACCAAGCCGACGAUCUGUAGCUGGUCUGAGAGGACGACAGCCACACUGGGACUGAGACACGGCCCAGACUCCUACGGGAGGCAGCAGUGGGGGAAUUUUGGACAAUGGGCGCAAGCCUGAUCCAGCAAUGCCGCGUGCAGGAUGAAGGCCUUCGGUU